UCAAGCUACAAAGAGCCAACGGCGGAUGCCUUGGCAUCGACUACCGAUGAAGGACGUGAGUGGCUGCGAAAAGCCUCGGGGAGCUGCCGACUAAGCUUUGAUCCGAGGAUGUCCGAAUGGGGAAACCCACUACUCCAAAGGAGUAGUACUCCGGUCUGAACACAUAGGACCGGUAGAGGGAACCAGGUGAAUUGAAACAUCUAAGUAACCUGUAGGAAAGGAAAGCAAAUGCGACUCCCUAAGUAGCGGCGAGCGAACGGGGAAAAGCCUAAACCGAAUUGGUGUAAUAGCCUGACGGCGUUGCCAAUUCGGGGUCGUGGGACCAGAUAGACCGAGCGUCAGAUCGGUCACAGAGUUACAAAUCUGCUCGUUAGUCGAAGCUUCUGGAAAGGAGCGCCACAGAGGGUAAUAGCCCUGUAGACGAAAACGUUCAGACUCUGAUCUGUGUUCCCGAGUAUCACCAUUGCCGUGUAAUUUGGUGUGAAUCUGCGAGGCCCACCUCGUAAGGCUAAGUAUAAGUCGAUGACCGAUAGCGAACUAGUACCGUGAGGGAAAGGUGAAAAGUACCCCGGGAGGGGAGUGAAAUAGUACCUGAAACCGUUGGUUUACAAUCAGUCAGAGCGUCGUCUAGAACUUCGGUUCUAGGCCGCGAUGGCGUGCCUUUUGAAGAAUGAGCCUGCGAGUUAUGGUGUGUGGCAAGGUUAACCCGUGAGGGGAAGCCGAAGCGAAAGCGAGUCUGAAUAGGGCGUCUAGUCGCAUGCUAUAGACCCGAAGCCGAGUGAUCUAUCCAUGGGCAGUGUGAAGCGGGGGUAAGACCCCGUGGAGGCGCGAACCGACCUAGGUUGAAAACUGGGCGGAUGACCUGUGGAUAGGGGUGAAAGGCCAAGCAAACUCGGUGAUAGCUGGUUCUCCGCGAAAUGCAUUUAGGUGCAGCGUCGUAUGUUCAGUCAUGGGGGUAGAGCACUGGAUGGGUUAGGGGGCCUACAAGCUUACCAACCCCAACCAAACUCCGAAUACCAUGACUCCAAAGUGCGGCAGUGAGACCCCGGGGGAUGAGCUUCGGGGUCGAAAGGGAAACAGCCCAGACCGCCGACUAAGGCCCCAAAUUCUGGACUAAGUGGUAAACGAAGUGAGAUUGCAAAAACAGCCAGGAGGUUGGCUUAGAAGCAGCCAUCCUUGAAAGAGUGCGUAACAGCUCACUGGUCGAGUGAUCUUGCGCGGACAAUGUAACGGGGCUCAAGUCCAGAGCCGAAGUCGCGGGUUUUCACAUUAGUGAAAGCGGUAGCGGAGCGUCGAUCUCGCUGUGAAGCGCCGGUGGAAACCGUCGUGGAGCGUGGUCGAGUGAGAAUGCAGGUAUGAGUAGCGAGAGAGGGGUGAGAAACCCCUCCGCCGAAAAUCCAAGGGUUCCUGGGGAAGGCUAAUCCUCCCAGGGUGAGUCGGGAGCUAAGACGAGGCCGAGAGGCGUAGUCGAUGCACAACCGGUUGAUAUUCCGGUACCACUGUGAGCGCGACCAGGCUCAACCAUUGUUGCUAAGGGGAUGCUAGGAGCCCGUAAAAAGGCACCUAGAGGAACCGACCCACAAUGGAGCGGCCAGCAAUGCGGGGACGCAGGAAGGUAGAUGAACCCACCCGAUGGUAGAGGUGGGGUAAGUAUGUAGGGUGGGUCCCAGGCAAAUCCGGUACCCAUUAAAACCUGAGAUACGACGCCGACUCGAUUAAGAGGAAGUCAUUGAUCCUAUGCUGCCAAGAAAAGCCGCUAGCGAGCUCUCACGGUGCCCGUACCCCAAACCAACACAGGUGGAUAGGUAGAGAAUACCAAGGCGAUUGGGAGAACUGUGGUUAAGGAACUCGGCAAAUUACAUCCGUAACUUCGGGAGAAGGAUGACCUCAUCAGAGUGAAAGAACUUGCUUCUUGAGCUCGAAGAGGUGUCACAAACCAGAGGAAAGCGACUGUUUACUAAAAACACAGCAGCGUGCGAAGCCGUAAGGCGCUGUAUACGCUGUGACGCCUGCCCGGUGCCGGAAGGUUACGGGGACGGGUUAGCCCUCGGGCGAAGCUCUGAACCUAAGCCCCGGUAAACGGCGGCCGUAACUAUAACGGUCCUAAGGUAGCGAAAUUCCUUGUCGGGUAAGUUCCGACCUGCACGAAUGGCGUAACGACUUUCCUACUGUCUCAACCACAGACCCAGCGAAAUUGAAGUACGAGUAAAG
This 2211-nucleotide ribosomal RNA is filed under the name marine metagenome. Its description in RNAcentral is "bacterial LSU rRNA". It matches the Rfam family "Bacterial large subunit ribosomal RNA", at positions 3 to 2058 of the family's 2925-position model. The record is from RNAcentral.